GCAUAACGCGAAGAACCUUACCAAGGCUUGACAUCGCCGGAAAUCCCGUAGAGAUGCGGGGUCCUUUUGGGCCGGUGACAGGUGGUGCAUGGCUGUCGUCAGCUCGUGUCGUGAGAUGUUGGGUUAAGUCCCGCAACGAGCGCAACCCUCGUUCCAUGUUGCCAGCACUUCGGGUGGGACUCAUGGGAGUACCGCCGGGUCGAACUCGGAGGAAGGUGGGGAUGACGUCAAGUCAUCAUGCCCCUUAUGUCUUGGGCUGCAAACAUGCUACAAUGGCCGGUACAGAGGGCUGCGAUACCGUGAGGUGGAGCGAAUCCCUUAAAGCCGGUCUCAGUUCGGAUCGAAGUCUGCAACUCGACUUCGUGAAGUCGGAGUCGCUAGUAAUUGCAGAUCAGCAACGCUGCGGUGAAUACGUUCCCGGGUCUUGUACACACCG
RNAcentral lists this ribosomal RNA (436 nucleotides) under uncultured bacterium. RNAcentral's name for it is "bacterial SSU rRNA". It matches the Rfam family "Bacterial small subunit ribosomal RNA", at positions 954 to 1392 of the family's 1533-position model. The record is from RNAcentral.